GGAAUGCAUAUUGCACCUGAUAAAGUGACUUAUAGGGGACGCUGGCGGUUCAACCUCAAACAUGGUUUAGGGUAUCAAGUGUAUCCCAAUGGAGAUUUUUUCGAAGGGUCCUGGAUUAGAGGAACCCCUGAAGGACCUGGUAAGUAUAAAUGGGCGAAUGGUAAUGUCUAUGUGGGUAAUAUGAAGGGAGGGACGUUAUCUGGAAAAGGAACUCUCACUUGGAUCAAUGGAGAUUCAUAUGAAGGAAGCUGGUUAAAUGGCAUGAUGCAUGGUC
This 274-nucleotide unclassified non-coding RNA is filed under the name Hevea brasiliensis (rubber tree). Lineage: Eukaryota; Viridiplantae; Streptophyta; Magnoliopsida; Malpighiales; Euphorbiaceae. The record is from RNAcentral.